RNAcentral lists this long non-coding RNA (1049 nucleotides) under Neodiprion lecontei (redheaded pine sawfly). Its description in RNAcentral is "uncharacterized LOC124294959". Lineage: Eukaryota; Metazoa; Arthropoda; Insecta; Hymenoptera; Diprionidae. The record is from RNAcentral.
UCACGCGGUCGAAUUUUGCAGCGUAUAAAUCGCGUUAUUUAAUGUUCGUUGUAAUUUAACAGAGCACUAAAUCAGUACUGAAUUUUCCAGCGAAUAAAACCUCGUUACAGCAGCCUCUACUUUUUCUGAUUUCGAUUAUUAUCGCGGUUUGCAUGUUAAAGGCUUGAACUCGACUGAAUUCAUAUUCGUUCAGUAUACGUUUGUCCAAAAGAACAUUCAUUUUGAUCGCCGAGAUAAACAACAUACGAUCGGUAUCACGUGAGCAACGAUGCGAAGUUGGUUGCGGAUGCAGUUUCAAAUGCAACGCUCAGAGAGUUCGGACGCUUCGCAACGGCAGGUCAACGAAAUUACCAUAAAAAUUAUGUCGUAAUUACGUUAUUUAUCGUGUCGUGUUGAGCACAUGCUGAUGAAAAUCACCUGCUCCGGGAAUUCUGCGCCCGUCGAGAGAUAAUUGGGAGUGAAAACAUUGUGAGUGAAAAUAUUGUGAGUGAAUAAUUCGACGUGCAAGUCGGUUGAACAAAAGAAAGUUACGAGGUAAACAAUUUUUUUUUUUAAUAUCCAACACAUCAUUCGAUUUUGUCUGUCGUGUCCCGGUAUAAACAACAAACAAUCGAGAUGCCACCAUCUUGCCAUCUUGACAAUGUACCGAAGAAUACGCGAUCGAAUCUUCGCAUGCAUCGACAUAAUUUAUUUAGUGAUUCGCAGUACCUGGAUGGAAUUCUACCUUUAGUGAUAACCAGUGAUAACCACAGGAAUAUCAAAUUUAGUGAGUGAUGCUCAUGGGAAUAUAAAAUUUGUUCAGUGAUACCUUCAGCAAUACAUAAUUUAACCAGUGAUUGUGAUGUGAAUUCAGUUCCGAUGUCGAGGCUGGCCUGAUUUACACGAUGCAGCAUGAAUACUAUACUGGACUCCAUACGAGAUGAUGAUAGUUAUUUGUGUGGAACCCUCAGAUGAGCCGGUGACGUAUACGCGAAAGUGGCAGGGCAUUGAUGGAUUAGUUACACCUGUACCGCAGUAUGACUCUACGCUGAUGCUACUUUGCAUAAUAC